Molecule: long non-coding RNA, 1397 nt
Organism: Triticum aestivum (bread wheat)
Lineage: Eukaryota; Viridiplantae; Streptophyta; Magnoliopsida; Poales; Poaceae
Exons: 13
Source: RefSeq, a predicted model, not a curated record
UGAUCCUCCCCUUCUUUAUGUUUACCAUGGUUGUUUGUGCUUUUCACUAGGGGAAUGCUUGUAUUACUUUUAUCUUGGCUGCUUCUCCUUCAGAAUCUAUAUAUCUUGAUUAUUUUCUCCUCCCCGUUAUAUUACUUAUGUGCAAUUCUUCUCCUUGUAUUUGUUGAGAGGGAGUGUCAUAAGUAAAAUACAAGUCAGCUUAUUGUCCUUUUGGGCCUCAGUUACAUGAAGUAAUGAACAAAUGUGUGACGUGCCAUGCCUGCAAGAAAGAGCUUCUGUCAGUUGCUUCGGUUUAAUCAACCAAGUGAGUGCAGUUGCAAACCAGCUGUGAGGCUUAUAGGAGCACUUGCGCCAUCUUUGUAAUGGCAAACACCAUUCCCUUGAUUGUUGAUUAGUCAUCUUCUCCUCAUGAUAUGAUACUGGAAGGAUGUCAUGAUGGAACGGUUGCUUUAUGGAGGUCUCCACAAACUUGCCGUCAGAAGACAUUUUAAUGGCAUUGAAAAAUAAAAGAAAUAAGAGACCCACGGCCUGUACUUAAGGUCUAGGAUCUGCUAGGUUGGUGGAUCUGCGAGCUUGCGGUUCCUGUUGUUGAUCAACCGCUGCUUCGGUUCGGUGGAGGUUUAAUCAACCAAGUGAGUGCAGUUGCAAACCAGCUGUGCGGCUUAUAGGAGCACUUGCGCCAUCUUUGUAAUGGCAAACACCAUUCCCUUGAUUGUUGAUUAGUCAUCUUCUCCUCAUGAUAUGAUACUGGAAGGAUGUCAUGAUGGAACGGUUGCUUUAUGGAGGUCUCCACAAACUUGCCGUCAGAAGACAUUUUAAUGGCAUUGAAAAAUAAAAGAAAUAAGAGACCCACGGCCUGUACUUAAGGUCUAGGAUCUGCUAGGUUGGUGGAUCUGCGAGCUUGCGGUUCCUGUUGUUGAUCAACCGCUGCUUCGGUUCGGUGGAGGUUUAAUCAACCAAGUGAGUGCAGUUGCAAACCAGCUGUGCGGCUUAUAGGAGCACUUGCGCCAUCUUUGUAAUGGCAAACACCAUUCCCUUGAUUGUUGAUUAGUCAUCUUCUCCUCAUGAUAUGAUACUGGAAGGAUGUCAUGAUGGAACGGUUGCUUUAUGGAGGUCUCCACAAACUUGCCGUCAGAAGACAUUUUAAUGGUACUGUUGAAUCUGUUCCCACCAGAGCCCUCUCGUGGGCACGAUAUAUAUGUAAGUGAGGAAAACACAAACACCCUUGUCACUACUGGAGAGGAUGGCCUAAAAUUCUGGGAUUUAAGGUAGCAUAAACUCUACUAGGAACUGUGCAAUCAAUAGUUCAAAUCUUUGUUGUCGACAAAACUACUGUUUGUCAGGCCAUUUCUGAUAGCAUAUAUGGAGCUGUGUCGAGGCUUAUGCUUUGUAACAGA